GAGAGAGGAAGGGCGGCUACCGGCGGCAACGCUGAGGAAAGUCCCCUCACCAUCUGGACCGCGGACACAUGCAAGUGUGUAGGGUGAGAAUCCUGGCUCUGGAACAGAAACGAUACCGCUGCGCAGAAAUGCGAUGAGCUCGAAAGAGCGAGGUCAUGCGUAUUGCGGAUGGAACGGCGAAUCCCCGCGGGUGCAAGCCGAAAUAGGACAGAAAGGGCAGUCCAGACCUGUCCGAGUACGGCGCAUAGCUGAAUGCUGCACGGCAUUGCCCCUUGCGCUGAACAUAAAGGGGCUUACUCUCCUCACUC
Molecule: RNase P RNA, 308 nt
Filed under: Candidatus Methanoperedens sp.
Lineage: Archaea; Methanobacteriati; Methanobacteriota; Methanomicrobia; Methanosarcinales; Candidatus Methanoperedentaceae
Description: RNase P RNA component
Rfam family: Archaeal RNase P
About the family: Ribonuclease P (RNase P) is a ubiquitous endoribonuclease, found in archaea, bacteria and eukarya as well as chloroplasts and mitochondria. Its best characterised activity is the generation of mature 5'-ends of tRNAs by cleaving the 5'-leader elements of precursor-tRNAs. Cellular RNase Ps are ribonucleoproteins.
Source: RNAcentral